GAUGAGCUGUGGAUAGGGGUGAAAGGCCAAUCAAACUCUGUGAUAGCUGGUUCUCCCCGAAAUGCAUUUAGGUGCAGCGUUACGUGUUUCUUGCCGGAGGUAGAGCUACUGGAUGGCCGAUGGGCCUUCACGGGUUACUGACGUCAGCUAAACUCCGAAUGCCGGUAAGUGAGAGCGUAGCAGUGAGACAGUGGGGGAUAAGCUUCAUUGUCGAGAGGGAAACAGCCCAGACCACCA
RNAcentral lists this ribosomal RNA (237 nucleotides) under Ostreococcus mediterraneus. RNAcentral describes it as "partial Bacterial large subunit ribosomal RNA". It matches the Rfam family "Bacterial large subunit ribosomal RNA", at positions 803 to 1037 of the family's 2925-position model. The record is from RNAcentral. Lineage: Eukaryota; Viridiplantae; Chlorophyta; Mamiellophyceae; Mamiellales; Bathycoccaceae.